UGCCCCAUGGCUGAGUUGGUUACAGCGUCCGACUGUUAUCCUCGAAAGUGGACAGCUCAUCGGAAGGUCGUGAGUUCGAGCCUCACUGGGGCAG
Molecule: non-coding RNA, 94 nt
Organism: Lactarius deliciosus
Lineage: Eukaryota; Fungi; Basidiomycota; Agaricomycetes; Russulales; Russulaceae
Source: the annotation of a GenBank genome assembly